AGGGACAGGCACCUGACCCAUAUUUGGACAAUAAUUUUCUCCUUGGGAAUUUUGAAGAGAUAGAGAUGAGAGAAAAAGAGCUGUCUUAACUCCUCUCCAGCUGAUUGGUCCAAUAACAUACAACGCUUGGGUGCUCUUGGCAGCCAUGUUUCCCUCACUGUGCAGAAGCCAAAAGCAGAAGAAGCUGGUCGGAUGAGAGAGAAAGAAAGAUGAGGAGACUCCCGGUGGCAUCUGAAUUUCUGGUUCCACUCCAUUCCUGAGGCCAGGCUAUAAUCUAGUUCCUGGUCUCUGAGACAUGUCCCUGUAGUGUUGUAAUUAAGUUUCCCUUUCUUGCUUAAACUAGUUUAGGUAGAUUUUUUGUUAUUUACAACCCAAAGAGCUAAGGAAUAGUAUGAACUUUCUUACCAGAUGCAUUUGUUCAUUCAAGAAAUAUUUUUGGAGCAACUGCUAUGUUCCAGGUAUGUGCAAGGUGCUGGAAAUUCAAUGAUGAUCAGGAUAGACGUGGUAUCUAUCCUCAGGGACUUUGUACUAGAUGGGUAAAAGGCCAGGGCAGGGCAGACAUGGAACAAAUGUUUGAUAUAUACGAAGAUAGAACAGAUUUAUGAGAACAUAGAACAAGGUUAUGAGAACUGACAAGCUGAAGACUGAAGGACUGGCCAGGAAGUGGUGGAAGGAGGUAGGAAUUAGGCCGUGGAGGAGGGAGAGCAUCCCAGGCAAGAGAAGAGUGUGCGCGAUGAUAACGCCAUCGUGAAGCCAGCAUCCUCUGGAGAGAAAGCAACACUUCAGGUUGUGUGUUCCAGAGCAGCCUGGGCUGCUGGCCUCCUGGGAGGUGGGAGGCGUUCCUGCUCCGGCUCUGACCUGGGACCUGCACCCUCUCCCUGGAUGCCUGAGGCCUUCCAGGGACCCCUAAAACCUGACAGUUUGGGCCAGCAAUUGGCAAACUGGCAAGUGCCGGGUCCCAGUGAGGCCCCUGGUUUCCUCCCCAAAUAGGAAGUAAAUGGGCAUUUUGUGUCCCCACUCAGGCAGAGCCUCUGGAUGGCCUCCCCCCACCGGUGCUUCCCCGACUCCCAGGGCUCUGGCAUAAAUCGGAGCCAUUUCCUUCUCCGGUUUCCCACCUGUGACUAGCCUUUGUCUAAUUUCACCACUGUGGGGACCAGGGGAGGGUUCCUUGGACAAUAAAUCUUUCAUCGGGAAGGUGGUUUUAUCAUUUGAAAGGAUGAUGUUAAAGAAAGAGAGGACAUAAGUGACUAAUGUGCUCAGGGGAUGGUGAAAAGGAAGAGCUCAGGGUGACCAGAAAGGGGUCAGGCUGGUAUGGCAGAGCAGGGCUGAGGAGGAGCGGGUGGAGAGAAUCAGGGAGGCACAUCAGGAAUGCCAGUCCGACACCUGACUGCAGAAAAGGGGCAAAGAGCUUCCUGGUUAGAAGAGAAACCAGGACCCGUGGUGUGGCUCCCUCUCCUCUCCAGAGCACAGGCUGUGGUCUGCUUUGACGUCAGCUCCCGGAUGCACCCAGGUUAUUGGACACGUUGCUUUCAGAUCUGGGCCAGCUGGGGAGGGAAGGGGCAGUGGGGGCAGCCCUCUCACUGAAGGAUGCCCAGAGGUACCUGGUGUGGAACAUCUGCAGGGUGAGCCAAGAUCAUCCUCCAGCCUUCAUCCCUUCAGGGAUGUUUCCCAACCCAGGCUCCCACUCCUGGCUCGUUUCUGAGACGGCAUCGGCAUUCCCAGGGCACUGAUGGCCAAAGCCACCAGGGGGCUGCCACAUGGAAUGGUGUUGGUAUCCCAGGUCACCCUCACUCUGGCUGAUCGGGCCCUAGAAGCAGAGGAAAUCCAAGAAAACCCUCGCUGGAGCCUAUGGACUCUACUGUCUCCCAGCCACCACUAUCUUUGGGACCAUCCUGCUCCAAAUGGUUGACAAUACUUGCUGCCUCCACUUUCUGGAUUCCCAUUCUCCCAGAACUCUACAGUCUAGCUUCUGCCCCACCCCACCCCACUGAAACUGCUCCUACCAAUGGUGUCAACAGCCUGACACCAAAUCCAGGGGUCACUUCCCAGUUUUUACUUUUUCUCUGAGCCAUCUGCCUGCUGAUUAUAAUCCUUUCUUCUCAAAAAUCUCAGUUCUAGGGGUUCUUAACCAGGGAUCCAUGAGUCCCUAGAUAGUCUUCAGGAAGAAACAAAAUGCAGUCCCUGAAACUGUUACACAAAGUGCUAUGCAAAUGUGCAUUUUCCUAGGGAGGCUGGUCCAAGGGCAUUCAUUGGAGUCUCAAAGGGAUCAUUGAUGUGCCCAAAUGCUAAGAACCGGUGCCCUUGAAACCUGUACUGGCCAGGAUUAGGUUCUUCUGGGAGUGGUCCGAGAUAGCAGCGGCUGAUUUGUCUUUCAUGGGUACAGAGGUAAGUCAUCAGAGCAGGAAUGGCGGCUCUGACCUGCGAAGUCCUCAGGAACUCAGGCUCUUUCUGGUUCUGUCUGCCAACCCCAGAGAGUAGCCUUCAACUUCGUGGUCCAAA
RNAcentral lists this long non-coding RNA (2499 nucleotides) under Equus caballus (horse). RNAcentral describes it as "lncRNA (ENSECAG00000047320.1)". Lineage: Eukaryota; Metazoa; Chordata; Mammalia; Perissodactyla; Equidae. The record is from RNAcentral.